RNAcentral lists this ribosomal RNA (252 nucleotides) under uncultured bacterium. Its description in RNAcentral is "partial 16S ribosomal RNA". It matches the Rfam family "Bacterial small subunit ribosomal RNA", at positions 524 to 776 of the family's 1533-position model. The record is from RNAcentral.
UACGGGGGGGCAAGCGUUGUUCGGAAUUUCUGGGCGUAAAGGGCUCGUAGGCGGCCCACUAAGUCAGACGUGAAAUCCCUCGGCUUAACUGGGGAACUGCGUCCGAUACUGGAUGGCUUGAGUUUGGGAGAGGGAUGCGGAAUUCCAGGUGUAGCGGUGAAAUGCGUAGAUAUCUGGAGGAACACCGGUGGCGAAGGCGGCAUCCUGGACCAACACUGACACUGAGGAGCGAAAGCCAGGGGAGCAAACGGG